This is a non-coding RNA of Peromyscus maniculatus bairdii (prairie deer mouse), 2931 nucleotides long. The record is from RefSeq and is a predicted model, not a curated record. Lineage: Eukaryota; Metazoa; Chordata; Mammalia; Rodentia; Cricetidae.
ACAUAGAUAUUUAAAAAUGCUUCAUUUUGGAAAGGGCUGAGUUAUUCCCAGUUUUAGAAUUGAACGGUGGGUCUCCAGUGCAGUUUCCACACGAGGUGUCUUGAUUCAGUCGGUCUGGGGUGGAACCCACAAAGGUACAUAUCUAGCGAGUGGGCAGACAAAGCAGGCACUGUGGGUCUAGGAACUACAAUGCGCUUUGAGGGCAAGCGAGGAGUGCUGGUCUCCUGGGCUUGAUCUUAAAAUACUCCGGCGAUUGAUGGUAGUGUUUUGAGGUUUCUCCAGAACAAACAGGAGCUGUGCCUUUGAGGCCAAAGCUAACAGGGCCUAUAUUUUGUUCAAGAUCUGUUCACUGGCCAGCCUGAGCCCUGACGGGGGCCUCCCUACUGGUGUUACGGGCCCUGCCCACAGUCUCUUGGCUGUUCCACCUCAGCAAGAAGGCAGCCUGACUUCGAGCUGCCAUGCUGGAUCUCUGUUCCAGAGCCUCCUACGGUAGCCCAUCCCACCCACAGCAGCCAGUUGACCAAUGUCAGUCAUUCCAGUGGAACACCCUCAACCAGUGGGGAACACUUAAUGGAACCAGCAGAGGACCACAUGGGACUGAACCCUUGGUACCCACAGCAGGAGUGACUUCAUAACUCAUAUCUUGCUUCCUUCCUCUAUCUCUGCUCGGCCAGCUCUGCCCGAGGACUGUUCCCUAAGUCCUCAUCUCAGGGGAAAUCAACUAAUUCACCUAAGACAUGAAUAAGAAAGGCUGUAUGUUCUUGAGAGAGUCAUAAUUAUUUUACUGUUUUUUUUUUUUUAAGAGGGUCUCAUGUAAUCUACUUUGGCCUUGAACUUACUUUGUAGCAGAGGAUGACCUUGAACUCCUGAUCCUCCUGUCUCUUCCUCCUGGGAGUGUUGGGAUUAUAGGUAUGUACCACCACACCUGGCGCAGCCCCUACCUUUGUCAGGCUUUUGUAAGUGCUGAGGAAUGGAACCCAGGGUCUUACACAUGCUAGGCAAAUUCUACACUGACCUACAUUGCAAGCCCCAAGAAGGGCACCAUUAGAAAGAGAAACAGGAGUUGUCCUAGAAUAACAUGGAAGGUCUGGGAAUAGCAGGCAAGAGUGAGGUCCCUGGGCAGAUGGAGGCAUUCUCCUGGUUGCCUUUUGGAGUUCAGUUAAGGUUACCUUGAGGAAACACACAGUGGGUUUGCUCAGGGGGAGGCCUGGAAACCUGGCCCAAAGGCCUUUUCUCCCACGUGGGGAGGCUUCUCGGGAUGCCCACAGGAGUUGAUGGAUUCCACACAUUUCCACUGUGUUCGCCUUCCCCUCUUGAAACAAGGAUGUGGGGGUGGGGCUUGGCAGAUGUGGCAAAGCUCUUACUCAAAUGUUUGAGGAGUGUUGGAAGCUUGGAGAGUGGUGGAGAAGGGCUGUGCUGGUGGACAGAGUCAAUAUGUUCUCCUGGGUACCCUGCACAAUGCUGAGUUUGUCCAGCCUUCCAUGUGCAUCAUAAUAGGAUCAACCCAAUUCCCCCACUGCCUUUGCAGUGGACCUCAGUUCCCACCCAAGCUCUCCCACGGUGUUCUCUCUCAUUAGAGCCCCCCAAACCCAUACACAACCCAAUAGAAAUGUGUAUGGCAAGAAAAUAUGCCUUGAACUCCAUUUCCUCCAACCAGAUACUUCAUAUGUGGGAAUUUUAGAAGUGCUACUUCUGGUCACCUUUGGUGGGUCAUUUUUAAGAUACAAAGCUCUCCAGAGUUCCUCUUUUCCCCAUUUUCUCUUGGCUCAAGACAGCAUGACACCUAUGGAAGCACUAUGCUGGGAGCAUUGUCAACCCUUCCCCCAUAGCCAGGAAUCAAAAGGAAAUCAGCAGAAGUGUAUGUGGUCACAGGAGGGACACUGGGAAUUGAAUCCAGGGCCUAUCCCACGCCAGAGAACUACUCUACCAAAUGAGCUACAUCCACAACCCUGACUUGCACUUUCAAGAUGCAUGAAGUUUGUGUCAGUGAGAUGGCUCAGCAGCUAAAAGCAACCACUUGCCUCUGGACCUGGUAAACUCAGUUCCAUCCCUAGGAUCCAGGUGGAGAAGGUUGUCCCCUGACCUCUGCUUGCACACUACAGUACAUGUGUGCACACAUACACAGAAAUUUUAAGAAUACUACAAAAAGUUUAGUACAUGAAUUUAAAGCAUAUAAUUUAUACCCCAAGAAGGUAAACACAUAUGAAUAACUGUGUGCUUGUGUAUAUGCAAUGAUGUAUAAUAUAUAUAUAUGCAUACAUGAUGCUUGUCUAGAGGACAAUAGAAAUAAAUAUACCCCAAAUAUGAUAGAAAUUGUGUUUCAUGGAUAAUAUUUUAGGUGUUUCUUUUCUUCUUUUUCGAUUUACCAAGAUUCUCUCUUUUUUUUCUAUGGUAUAAUAAAGCACUCCCAUUUUUAAACUGCAAGUUACUGGGGGCAAGCACUUAGAAUGGUCUAUAAUACACUAGAUUUUUAGUAUGAGGAAAUCUAGAGACCCUUUUCUUUGUGUAUCUAUCCCUAUAUAUUCUCCAAUCCCUCAGUGUCCUUGAUUAAAAACAAAUACAUUAUUUAUUUAUAUCCUUUACCAUCUUCCUAUAUGCAUUGUUUCUUUUAUUUCUUCAGGCAGAAUCUUAUGUGACCCACACUGGCCUCUAACUCUAUGUAGUAGAGGCUGGCUUUGAACUCCUGACCCUUCUGCCUGUAUCCUUCAAGUGUUGGGAUUACAGAAGUAUCCCACCACACCCAGCUACACUAUCUCUUUUUUAACUAUAACAUUUCAUAUGCUCACCAAGGAAUAGGAUACUCUCUAUCUUUAUCACCUAAUACUUCCCUGCCUAACCACCCCACCUACCAGACUGGGGAUUACUGAGCUAUAAUUCCAGCCCAGGGACAAAUCCUUGUUCUUUAUAUUCCCAUCAGUCCUUAACAUAGGG